Non-coding RNA from Vicia faba (fava bean), 219 nucleotides. NCBI's taxonomy places the organism in Eukaryota, Viridiplantae, Streptophyta, Magnoliopsida, Fabales, Fabaceae. The record is from the annotation of a GenBank genome assembly.
AUGGGCGGGUUUGUGAGGGUUAAGGGUGAAGGUGGUUUAAAGGCUUUCAAAGGGAUAACAAGGGGCAGCAGUCUGUUUUGGGCUAGUUUUGGGGAUGAUAUGAUGCAACAGCAGGUUCUGUUUGGGUAUUUAUCUCAGGUUUCUUGGACCAUUGUUGCCAGCAAGAAGUUGGAGCUAUUUUUUGUUUGUUUUGGGACUGAUUUGUUACAAGGUGGUUAA